AGUGGCAGUCAAAGGCCUAAACACCAGUUAUACAUUUUUGUGACUCGUCUCUGAUCGGCGCCACAGACACACACACACACACACACAGACACAGACACACACUUAAACACAGGGCAAUGAAGUGAGUGGGAGUGCAUUGUUAUCACCACCAAACCUCAACACUAUAAUACCGCAUCAUUAUAUCCUUGGCUCCCCGUCUCGUCCUGCCAAGCCCCGCCAAGCCCUGCCCAGCCCCGCCGCUGCUAAGAUAAAGAAGCGAUGAGGAAACAGGAAAACAGGACGCCCUGGCCACCCUGAGUCUUCCCAACUUGUCGGCAAGAUACCGAGCGACCCUUGAGAAGUUUGGGAAGGGCCUGCUGCGCAACCAACGCCUAUGCCACAUGCUGUUGCCCGACUUGCCUCGCCAGAUCCAUGCCACACAACACAAAAACUAGGUGACACCCAUGAAAGCUCCGCUCAUGGAGCAACAUCGCUUCAGCUGGAUUCCCACUUCGGUGCGAGCCACUUAACAGUUAGUUUCUCUCUUUAGAUUAACUUUAGUUUUAGUAUUAAGCCUCGUCAAACCCACUGUAUAUUUUUCAGUCUAACAACUGCCAUAUCAGUAAACUAUUUAUUAUUAUAA
Scylla paramamosain (green mud crab) is the source of this 622-nucleotide long non-coding RNA. RefSeq lists it as uncharacterized. The transcript is spliced from 3 exons. Lineage: Eukaryota; Metazoa; Arthropoda; Malacostraca; Decapoda; Portunidae. The record is from RefSeq and is a predicted model, not a curated record.